This 410-nucleotide RNase P RNA is filed under the name Ignavibacteria bacterium. RNAcentral's name for it is "RNase P RNA component class A". It matches the Rfam family "Bacterial RNase P class A". From Rfam's summary of the family: Ribonuclease P (RNase P) is a ubiquitous endoribonuclease, found in archaea, bacteria and eukarya as well as chloroplasts and mitochondria. Its best characterised activity is the generation of mature 5'-ends of tRNAs by cleaving the 5'-leader elements of precursor-tRNAs. Cellular RNase Ps are ribonucleoproteins. The record is from RNAcentral. RNAcentral also lists the same sequence under 1 other name. Lineage: Bacteria; Pseudomonadati; Ignavibacteriota; Ignavibacteria.
AAAUGUAAAAAAGGCAAUCGCUUUUAUUUUUAUAAAAGAGGAAAGUCCGAACUCCAAAGAACAGUAUGCUUCGUAACGCGAAGGCAAUGAAUUGUAAUGAUUUAUUGACUGAUAGUGCAACAGAAAAUAUACCGCCUAUUUUUAUAGGUAAGGGUGAAAAGGCAGUGUAAGAGACUACCGUACAGUUGGUAACAACUGUAGCAAGGUAAACCACAUAUUGGAGCAAAGUCAAAUAGUAAAAUAUAAUUCCUUUAGGAAUCUUAAGUUGUUCGCUUAGGUAAUUACAAAUAAAAGUAAUUUAUAUUUUUGGGUAGACUGCAAGAUAAUAAUGGCGACAUUAUUACGAGAUAAAUGAUUGCCUCUCAAUUUUUAUUGAAAGACAGAAUUCGGCUUAUUUUUUAUAUUUUAAU